UUUUUUCAUUAUUAAACUCACUUAUUUUUGCUUGAGAUUAGUUUUUUUUUUUUUUUUAAGUGCAUAUUUUAGCUCCAUAAAACAUCCUUGAAUACCCUUUUAAGAGCGUGACGGCUUGAUGCACCUGCACGCCCAAUCACUUCUCGUCCUGAAGCCUCCUGCUUGCGCGAGCCACACCUCCUGUCCAAUGAGAAGCCCGGUUUGGAGCCGAGGGGCGGAGCCUCCAUAUGUUUGGGUCAAAAUGAGCCCCGUGUUAUUAGAAAGCUCAGUCUGUCGCUCCCAACACCUGAAUAAGCGACUCUACACCAAUCAUUUCACUUACAGCUCAAACGUUUACAGUCUUCACGUUUCAGGAGGAUGAGACCAGCAACUUAACAAGUAACUGCUUGCGCUUAGUUUUAAUUAAAAAAAUAUAUAUAUAUAUAUAU
Long non-coding RNA from Xiphophorus couchianus (Monterrey platyfish), 428 nucleotides. RefSeq lists it as uncharacterized. The record is from RefSeq and is a predicted model, not a curated record. The transcript is spliced from 3 exons. Lineage: Eukaryota; Metazoa; Chordata; Actinopteri; Cyprinodontiformes; Poeciliidae.